CAAGCCCAAUUAUGUCUUACUAUGAAGCUCCUGAGGCCUCAAAAUCCUCCAAGCCAUCACAGAAGUGGGAUGUUUAUUCAUACGGGGUAAUUUUACUGGAGAUGAUUUCUGGGAAGUCACCAGUUACGCAGACAGGUUCAUCAGAAAUGGGUCUUGUUCAAUGGAUUCAGCUUAGCACAGAAAUCAAGCCACUCUCUCAUGUGUUAGAUCCUUUCUUGGUUCAUGAUUUGGAGAAGAGAGAUGAGAUGAUUGCAGUACUUGACAUCGCUCUAGCCUGCGUUCACAUCAGCCCUGAUAAGAGACCUUUAAUGAGGA
RNAcentral lists this unclassified non-coding RNA (315 nucleotides) under Hevea brasiliensis (rubber tree). Lineage: Eukaryota; Viridiplantae; Streptophyta; Magnoliopsida; Malpighiales; Euphorbiaceae. The record is from RNAcentral.